This 257-nucleotide ribosomal RNA is filed under the name uncultured Actinomycetales bacterium. RNAcentral's name for it is "partial 16S ribosomal RNA". It matches the Rfam family "Bacterial small subunit ribosomal RNA", at positions 76 to 334 of the family's 1533-position model. The record is from RNAcentral. Lineage: Bacteria; Bacillati; Actinomycetota; Actinomycetes; Actinomycetales.
CGUUUUGUGGGGUGCUCGAGUGGCGAACGGGUGAGUAACACGUGAGUAACCUGCCCUUGACUUUGGGAUAACUUCAGGAAACUGGGGCUAAUACCGGAUAGGAGCUCCUGCUGCAUGGUGGGGGUUGGAAAGUUUCGGCGGUUGGGGGUGGACUCGCGGCUUAUCAGCUUGUUGGUGGGGUAGUGGCUUACCAAGGCUUUGACGGGUAGCCGGCCUGAGAGGGUGACCGGCCACAUUGGGACUGAGAUACGGCCCAG